GGCGGGGGCGCGUUCUCCCUUUCUGCGGGCGCGGGGCGGCGGGAGCGGGGCUCUAGUCCUGCAUCGGCCGGACCAGGACCGGCACAGGCCUCGGCCUCUCCCGGCGGGGUCAGCGGGAAGCCCCGCGUCCCUCAGGCGCAGGAAGGCGGUGCUGGUUGAGGCGGCUGCGCCGUCCCGUGCCAUGUUACGGCGAGGCUCCCUCGGGGCCGGUGGCGCUUCCCCCCGGCCCCGGCGCUGGGCGGCUGCGGCGGGAGGACACGGGCGAGCCCAGCAGUGGACAGAAAGAUGAAGUGACCAAGAUGGUGUGACUUCAGAAACAAAAUGUGAUCCUUCACAAAAAAGCUGCCCAAGCACGCUUCAAGCACCUUUCUGACUAGGCCGUGGCAGAGCCGGGGGAGCCCCAGGCCAGAUCAUGCCUUGAGCUGCAGAAUGUCUGACAAACGUGGAGCUGAGAAGUGGUUGGCAGCAUCCACGUCUGAUGGUUUGGAGAUUCCUAAAACUCGAUCAUCUGUGUUUUCUCUACAUGGUUAAAGAUUUAAAUAAAUUUUAAAAAAAACCUAAAUAAAGAUGCCACCUACAAGACUGAAA
This is a long non-coding RNA of Prinia subflava (tawny-flanked prinia), 588 nucleotides long. RefSeq lists it as uncharacterized. The transcript is spliced from 4 exons. NCBI's taxonomy places the organism in Eukaryota, Metazoa, Chordata, Aves, Passeriformes, Cisticolidae. The record is from RefSeq and is a predicted model, not a curated record.